This 70-nucleotide transfer RNA is filed under the name Podarcis lilfordi (Lilford's wall lizard). RNAcentral describes it as "tRNA.Ile". Lineage: Eukaryota; Metazoa; Chordata; Lepidosauria; Squamata; Lacertidae. The record is from RNAcentral.
GGAUAGCUCAGUUGGUUAGCGUGUGGUACUGAUAACACCAAGGUUGCAGGUUCAAUCCCUGUAAGGAACA